Eupeodes corollae is the source of this 3732-nucleotide long non-coding RNA. RefSeq lists it as uncharacterized. The transcript has 2 exons. The record is from RefSeq and is a predicted model, not a curated record. Lineage: Eukaryota; Metazoa; Arthropoda; Insecta; Diptera; Syrphidae.
GUGAAUGCGCCCAAUAUCGCUGUAUUCUUGGCUAUUAAUUCUAAAUCAGGACUUGUUAAAUUCUGUUUUAGAUAAAUAUAUAUUGAAACAAUUGAAAGUUUGAAUUUCUACUGCUACUGCUGGAAUAUUAGAUGUUAUAAUUAUGAAUUUGUGUGGAAUAGAUGUGGUGCAUGGCAUGCUUAUUGUUUACGAGGAUGAAAGAUGGUGCUUGUGGGAAUGUGGGUUUCUUGUAGUGCUAUAAUAGAAGGUUUGUGUUCGUUUAUCAAAAGCUGAAGUUCAUGGUGGUUAUUAAAAUGUCCGUCCAUGUUCCAUUGAAGAAUUUUUAAGGUUGAUGGUUUUGAACGAGGAGUGAAUGGGUAUGGUUGUCGAGAUAUUAUUUGACUCCGCUUCCCGAAUGUCGAAGCAUUCAGGCUCCCAAGUGAAACUGAAGGAUUCAACACACGAGCAGCAGUCUCUGACUUUAGAGCCUAAAGUUUGAUUACUGAUCAUCAUCAUCCAUUACGUUUACAUAGUAACUAUUUUCUUUAAGAAGUGUUUUUGUAAGAUGUGAUAAUGGAGAAUCUGAUGCCCAAGAAUUUCUGUUUGGGUGUGAAUCUUGUUUUUGAGGUAGAUUUCGUGUUUCUGUGUUAUUUGGUGUCAUUGUUGUUCGGGUAAUUUUUGCGGGUUUGUUAGAGAAAUUAUAUACUUGUUCGGGUUGGUUAUUUGUUGUCUGUAUAGUUAGUGUGGGGUUGUUGUUUAGUUUAGCUAUGGUAUUGUUAUCUUGUGGAAGGGAAUUUUCUGUUUGAAUUUAAUUUAAACGUAUUGAGAUAGAAGGUUGGUAUGAUUUUGAAGUUGAUGGCUGGGUUUCAGGAUGAUUAUUUUGUUUUUUUGGGGGUUGUUCUCUUUGAAUUUUGUUUUUGAUAAUCUCUGCCAUAGAUGGGUUGGUAUCGAUUUUUUUAGUUGGGUGGAAGGUGAUGCUGUGCGGGGUCGUCUCUGUAGAUCUCCCAGGCUUCUCGGAGGGUGCAGCGGCGGUCGGAUUUUAUUUUGUUGACCGAUUAAUGGCGAAGAAAGGUUGGACAUGAGGCAUCAUAAGAUGUAUGACUGUCUUCCUGACAGUUAUGCAAUAAAUGCGUGAACAUUCAUGGUGUGGUGGGGGAAGGCAGCAUUCUUUGCAAAGUUCGACACUUGUGCAGCGAUUUCUUGUGUCCUAAUUUUUUACAAAUAAUGCAUCUCAUUGGGUUUGUGAUAUAUUAUUCGACUACAACCAAGCCUUCCUAGUUAGAUUUCAUUGGGACGUCUUAUUAAGUCGAAGGUAAGGAUUGCUGCGCCCGUUGGAGUCAAUUCAUUAUUAAUUUUUGUAAACAUUUUUUUUAUUUGGAUAAUUUUUUGUGGUUCCAGUUCACUUAGAAGUUCUUAUUCGGAAAUGUCUCUGAUAUGGGGAGAGAAGAUUUUUCCUUGCACUAAGUUUAAAUUAUUGUGUGGUGUGAUUUUAACCGGAAUAGAUGUAGUUUUGCUUCAUGAAUUUAUUUGCAAUUUGUAAGUUCGCAACUUUCACUAAGAGAUCACCGGACCGCAUGGAUUUAACCUCUAAGAUUUCUUUAGAUAUAUGUUCGAAGCCACGAUUAAUUUGGAAUAAGUUGUACGAUGAAAGUGGUCGCAAUUUUUCUGUUUGGUCGUCUUUUCCGUUUACAAUUUUUUCCAAACCAGAAAUAACAAUAUAGCGAGGAAUGUUAUCGUCGUUUGAGGGAAUUGUUAGCAGUAGUGGGUAGUGAGGUUGGUUUAAUUUGCGUUUCAUUUUGGUGCGUGGGUUCAAGGGAGCAUCGGAAUCGAGCCCCUUAUAAACCUAUUUCUACUGGGAUCCCCCUGCAUUUUGGUUUUAAAUUUUAGAUACCAGAAAGAAAUUGAAUUUUCAGACCGCGUGGCGGCGAAAAAUUUGGAUCAAAAACAAAGCUAUAAGGUAAGGUUUUGGCUCUCAGAACACGUCUAUACUCGGCGUUUGCCAGAUAGCUACUGGGUUGCCAGCACGUAACUUGAUACAUCCUAGUUUAGUCGAUACAAUCGGCAUUGGUAGCAUACAUUUUGGUUCAAUCGAAUGUCCUCGAUUGUUUCGCAAGAUUUGGCAGCACACAAACUUCAAAUUGACGUUUGAAACAAAAAUUUUCACUCGACAGAAAUUAGCUAUCGUCGGCAGUGAUUUUUGUAUGAGAAAAACUGAAAAACAAAAUAAUUAUGUCAAUAAAUAAAACACAGGCUGAGAUUUUAAUCAAUUUUAUGAGUUCUCACGUUGAUAUAGCGAGGAGAGUUCUUGAAACUACAAGGGAGUAAUUCUGUGGGGAAAACUGAUUGAAUCCCUAAAGCUGUAUAACUAGUGGAACUGAUGUUCUUCUUCUGGAAGGCUUUAUGAAAAGUCUUCGAGAAAAACUUGAAAUUGCCCAAGGAUUUUCAAAAAUCCCUAAGAAGUAAGUGAAUUCGUUUUGGGAGGCAGUCAAAAUAGAGUUAAAUAGUUAAAGACCCACCUUCUAAGGACACCUCUAGCUGGAAAAAAUGUGGUUAGAUUGAAAGGCAUAAAUCAAGAGGAAAAUGGUUAAGAACAAAAAGGAAUGCAAAGCUACAGGUGGCGGAGCAAAUAGAAUGCAUUUUUUUAGCAGCCUCGAAGAAGGUGUCAUAAGAAUGAAUGAACUUUGACCUGCGGAAUAAAAGAUCCACAAUUUUUUUUAUUCGAAAAUUCCUCCGAGCCUUAAGAAUCAAAUGAACCUUGUGAAGAGAACUAACUUGCCGAUGUUUCGAUGUCAUCAGACGUAGUUGAUGUGAGAAAUGUUCCACGGCGUCUUCCAACCACUUCGCGUCAAUCAUAUGAUUCAUCCAGUCUUCGUGUAUUUUCUUCAUUUAUUGCAAAGAUUGCAACGACAAUACUAUCAAUUUUUAAAGACAAAAACAAAUAAAAACAAGAACAAAUCGAAAGAUGAAAAACGAACUUUUAUUUAAUUUUCUUAUUUUGACGCAUAUCAGCUGAUUUUAAAACUCCGAAAUUAGUAUUUCUGUGUGCCAAUGCUUUCUUGAAUUCGUUUGGGGCUUAUGAUGUAAAUGUAUUCGUAUUCGUAGCGUAACACAAUUUUCGGGGACUUCGCUACGAGGGACUCUGUGAUAGGGGUGAUUAUCUCCAAAAUAUUCUUUCGAUUUUAGCACAGGACACUUCUUGGCCUUCACUUUCACUUUUCGAAUCAAAGAAAAACAUUUCGACAAAACUUAAAAUUGAAACUAGAAUGAAAUGAUUUUAAAGAAAACUCAUUUGACAUUUGAUUUUAUACUAGUUCACAAUGACUUUUUUAAGUAAAAGUCACAAUAGAACUCGUCUCAAAUUACGUGCUAUCAAAAAUAAUUUGUUUCGAGUUUCGAUCGUCGAUCAGACAAUCCUCGGUUGUAUCAAGUUACGUGCUGUUUUGUAUUUUUCUUCUUUAUUUGGAUAAAUUUUGUUUGUUUUUUUUUUUUUCAAAUAAAUCAAGAGUGCAUUCUUAAAAUUUUCGUUGAUUUUAAAAAGAAUACAAAUUUAGUUUUAUUUAAUGAAUAUUUGAAUUUAUUUAGUUUUUUUCUCAAAAAUAAUAAAUGUUUAGGAGAGCUUUUGUUUGUAUCUUUUAACUGUUUUUAUUUUAACGUGUUUAUUUGUUUUACAUGACGGAUCGAUCUUACAAACUGGAACGCAUCACAUAGCAUAUUUCCUAGUCCAUUCUCGAGCUAGCUCAUUAUAUUUUUCUC